AGAUCAGAAUGGUAAGAAGACCUGGUGAAACUGAAGGUGAAACAACACAGCUCUGCCCUUCUCUGUGGCAUUGGGAAACCAUCACCACCUAAGCUGAGAAAAGGUUGCCAUAGGUUCUUUCUCCGAGGAGGUGGAAGGUUCUGGGGGGCUGGGGGCGGGGGGAAUGGGAGAAGCCACAAUAUCUGCCAUUCCAUCCUCAAUUUGAAUUCCUGUUCAUGUCUCUCAAAACACUUCUUUAAUGGAGUGUAGCUCUUGAAAGGAUCUGACUCCUGUUGGAUAUCAAAUACACAUCUCAAGCCAAACAUAUCAAAUCCCAAAGUCAUUUUUGCCAGGUUUUCCUCUUAAGCAACGAGGCUCAAAUGUUCACCCAGUUACCCAGACCAAAACCAGAUUUUACAGUCAGUGCUUCCACUGUUUCUGGGAGCUCUGCCAUCUACCUUCUCCCUGAGGCACGCUGCUCCUCAGCAUGCCCACAGCCGCCAUCGCUGCCCUAACCCUGCCAUGGUCUAUUGCCCUCUGAAAGGCUGCUUCCAAGCCCUCGUGCUGCUCUGCCUACCCAGCCCCAUCAAAUCAUGACACGCCCACCCAGGUGACACCCCACAUCCUUCAGUCUGUCCUAUCAGUCCUGCGAGAGGCUGCUGGCAUUUUCCUGAGCUGUGUCUCUCCUCUCCCAUGCAGAUGGCCGAUUGUCUGAUGGACCUGUGACCCUGGACCUCUGGCCGUGAGGUCAGGGCGGAAGUCUUCCGUGGAAGAGGGGUCCUCACGCCUGAAUCCCUGUGGCCCUGACAGAUCAGCGUGGGUAAGUGGACGGAAGGUGGCCGUGAUGGGCACUGUAUGCAGAGGACAUGGAUUUACAGGCUCAAGGAGGCUCUCCCCACAGGGCAUCAGGAGUGAGGCAGUAGCCACGCAGAAAUGUGGAGCCUAGCAGGGCUUUUCAAAUUGGAUUGGGCGCAGAAGCGUGUUUGCAGACUCGUAAACAUGGGGUGGGAGAUUGGUAAAACAUUGAUGAUGUUGCAGAGAGAGAGAGACAGAAAGAGGGGAAUGGCUAGAGUCCCAGUGUCUGUUUGAAACGUCAGCAACUAAGAUUAUGUAACUUUUAGUUCUUGACCUGCAUUUGUACCCUUUGGGUCUCCUGGCCCACUUCUGAAGGCACAUCUUUCAAUGUCAUGGGAAGUGGCUGAGCGUGUUAGCUCUGAGUUGUGAAUCUGAUUCUUGGCCAAGUGUUUGUCCAGGAUUCCGACUGGCUUACUGCGGUCCUCACUGCUGGCAUUCAUAGGGGAACAGCAGGGUGUGUUUGUUCAGUAGGAUUAAGCGGCUCUUUGAGGUAGUAGGUAUCCUGGAAGAAUUGGUUUUUGUUUUGUUUUUUUCCCUACAUUUGCAUUUCUGAGGAGGCUGGUAUUUGCUGGCCUGUGGGUACGUGAGGUGAAUUUGUGACUGCCACACAAGCCUCCGUGUUUGUGUCUGUGUGUGCCUUCACUCUCAUGCAUGGACAUACCUGCCUCCAAUCCAAAGGGCUUCACAGCCUGCUGCUCCCCUGCAGCCUUCGUUUGCAUGAUUUCACAUGGGGUCUCAAUUAUUAUCAGUGUUUACCUAAGGGAGGGUCUUAAGGAGUUAGUUCAGGAGAAGCUUUCGGCCCUAAGAAACAGAAAGAAAACCAACACCCACGUUCAGCAAAUGAUCUUUUAUUGUUUUGUUUUCUGUCCAACAUCACUGAGUUAUUUUUAUUCAUUUCCACUGAAGUAUCGUUCACGUGCAAUAUUGCAUGUUUUGGGUGUACAAUAGUUGAUAUAUAAUAUUCUCUGUUACAGGUACACAAUAUAGUGAUUGAUGAUUGUUAAAAGUUAUAACCAUUUAUAGUUAUUAAAAAACAUGGGCUCUAUUCCCUGUGUCGUACAAUAUAUCCCUGCAAGUCCUGUGGACCUCUGAACCCUCAACCCCUGUCUUGCCUCUCUCUGCUCCCAGUGGUAACCACUGGUUUGUUCUCUGUACCUGUGAGUCCAUUUCUUUUUUUGCGAUAUUCACUAGUGUGUUGUAUUUUUUUAGAUUCCACAGGGAAGUGAUCUCAUAUGGUAUUUGUCUUUUUCUAACUUACUUCAUUUAGUAUGAGACUCUCCAGGUGCAUCCAUGUUGCUGUAAAUGGCAUGAUUUCAUUCCUUUUUAUGGCUGAGUAGUAUUCCAUUUUAUAGACGUACCACAACUUCUUUAUCCAUUCAGCUGUUGAUGGACAUUUACGUUGUUUCCAUAUCUUGGCUAUUGUGUACAGUGUUGCCAUGAACAUAGUAAGGGUGUGUGGAUCUUUUCAAGUUAGAAGUGUUGGAGUUUUUUGAAUAUGUAUACCUAGGAGUGGAAUGAUUUGACAAUGACAGUGAGUAAUGUAAACAAUUAAAUAAUUAUAUAUGAAAAUCAUUCCAGGACUUUUGAAAUAAGGCCAAAGAAAUGAGAGAAGAGAAACAUGUCUUUAGAAAUUACAUAAAUAAUUAAACGAAUAGGGGAGUUCCCGUUGUGGCACAGCGGAAAUGAAUCUGACUAGGAACCGUGAAGUUGUGCAUUCAAUCCCUGGCCUUGCUCAGUGGUUUAAGGAUCCAGCGUUGCUGUGAGCUGUGGUGUAGUUUGCAGACAUGGCUCAGAUAUGGCAUUGCUGUGGCAUGUGCGAGCAGCUGUAGCUCCUAUAAGACCCCUAGCCUGGGAAUCUCCAUAUGCCAUGGGUGUGGCCCUAAAAAAAAAAAAAA
RNAcentral lists this long non-coding RNA (2729 nucleotides) under Sus scrofa (pig). RNAcentral's name for it is "lncRNA (ENSSSCG00040032040.1)". The record is from RNAcentral. Lineage: Eukaryota; Metazoa; Chordata; Mammalia; Artiodactyla; Suidae.